This 73-nucleotide transfer RNA is filed under the name Camelus bactrianus (Bactrian camel). It matches the Rfam family "tRNA". From Rfam's summary of the family: Transfer RNA (tRNA) molecules are approximately 80 nucleotides in length. Lineage: Eukaryota; Metazoa; Chordata; Mammalia; Artiodactyla; Camelidae. The record is from Rfam by way of RNAcentral. RNAcentral also lists the same sequence under 2 other names.
GAGGGUGUAGCUCAAGUGGUAGAGCACAUGCUUAGCAUGCACCAGGUCCUGGGUUCAAUCCUCAGUACCUCCU